This 2094-nucleotide long non-coding RNA is filed under the name Malus domestica (apple). RNAcentral's name for it is "long non-coding RNA (MDOM_LNC009884)". Lineage: Eukaryota; Viridiplantae; Streptophyta; Magnoliopsida; Rosales; Rosaceae. The record is from RNAcentral.
UAAAACGAUUACCAAUCAUACAUAUAUAGAUAUGUUUUUCUCUUUUGAUUCAGUUUUAAGGGAAGAGAGAGACAAGUACUCUGCCAGUAAAUUUAGAAGUUGCGUAUAAUUAAUUAUUUAGAGCAAGUGUUCUACCACUAAAACAAGAAGUCUCGUUACGAUCAUAUAACUGUAUGGUGCUUAAAAUGUGCAUGAAGAACAUGAAUAUUUAAAAUCAGUUAAACUAUAUAAGACAUAUAGUGAAGUAAUCCAAGCAGUAGAAUAAAUCAAAAUCAUGAAAAUCUAACUGGAGAUAUGCAUGCUUUUCAAAUCUUUCCCAAAUCCAAUCGACAUAACUUUUCAUUUGUUUGAAAUCCUCCUAACAUGGACCAGUGGUGACUGCUUGUCCUCACAUGACGAUCAUCCUCAUCCACAUGCAAGAUCAAGCGAUGGUCCACAGAACAUGAUCUCCAAUCUUAGCAUCGGCCUGUUUCUACUGUUUGAUGAUAGGGCAUUUGGACCAUCCAAUGAUACAUAAACCCUAAUUGAAAGCCAUAUGGGAAAAUUUCCUCUAUAAAUUAUCUUGUAAUUAUUGGUCAUUUAUUAUAAUUGACCACUCUGAAAAAAACCAAAAUUGGUGAUCCUAAUUGGGGAGACAAAGAUUCAGGUACUGGUAGGGACAAUCCAAAAAGACGUAGCUAUCAUUCACAUUUUCGAAACCCAAAAUUUGGACAAUUAAUUAACCUUCUCCUAACUCAAGCAUAAUAGCACUAAAAAAUUCAUUGAAUUUGAUCAAACACUCAACAUGUUUUUUCUUCAUCACAAUUAAUAGAACACAAGAAACAAUGGGAAGAAACCUUACAUUGCACUUUCAAUAGUCUCGGCUAGCGGUUUUGACACUCGUUUUUCAGCUUUCUGCAUUUUUUUAUCCAAAUGUAAAAAAAAAAAUAUCCGUAUAAUAUUUCAUCUUAAGUGCAAAUGGUUAAAAGAAUAGUGUCAAAGUCGAUAUUCAUCUACUGUCAUAAUCAUCUAAGCAUGAUUGCAAAGACAAUGACAAAAAAGGGAAGUGCUCAUCCAAUCAAGUACAAAAAUAGAUUGAUUGGGCGGAUAUAUAUAUAUAGGGUUAAUCUCAGUUUACUAUCUUGAAAUUUUGUGAUUUUCAAUAUUUGGUACAUGAAAUUUUUUUCAUCCCAAAGUCAUACCUCAAGUCUUAAUUUUGGGAUAGUUUCAUACAUUCGUUAAGUUUUUCGUUAUAACUUCUGUUAAUUGAUGACGUGGCACUUACGUGGACAAUAACUGAGCACCAUGUGUCAAUAUGGGCCCACUGCAAUAUUUAAAAAUUAAAAAAAUACAAAAACACAUAAAAAUAAAAAAAUAUUCCCCACCCGUCUUCUACCUCCCCCAACCCCCUCAUUUCCUUCUUCCCUCUGCAACUCGCACCCUCUCCCCCAAAACCAGUUUCCCCCAAGCUCACUCCAACCACCAAAACCAGUCUUCCCCAACCCGCACCCUCCAUUCCUUCUUCCCUCAGAUCUAACCCCGACGAGUCCAUGUGCGACCUCGAGAGCUCCAACCUUCCUUAUUCCUUCUGUAAAAGACGUCCCCGAGAGCUCCAACCCUGACGAGUCCAUGUGCGACCCUAAGCUCGACAAGGUCGUCGAUGACUCCAUGGGCGAGCCGGAGGUCUCCUUUGUCGAAGCCGAUGGCAAGACCAGCUCUGACUAUUACUUCGACUCAUACUCUCACUUCAGUAAAGAGAAAAAAGCUUACUUUAUUCGAUUCUUUGUUUUUUGCUUCUAGGUUUUUGUUUGGAUGGUCUGAAAAAUUAGAUAAUGGGAUUGCAAAAGGGGGGUUUUUAGUUUUCGUGAUUGGGUUUUCGGUGUGUUUUGCAAGUUCCGAACUUGGUUGCAUUUUGUUUUGUUUUGGAACUUGGUUGCAUUUUCUUCGUAUUGUUUACGUUUUGUUUUGGAUCUAAGGGAAGAAGGAAGAGAGGGUGCGGGUUGGCGGAGACUAGUUUUGGUGGUGAAGGAAGGUUGGGAGAAAGGGUGCGGGUUGCAAAGGGAAAGAAUGAAGGUUGGGGGAGAUUGGUUUUGGUGGUUGGAAUGAGCUUGGGGG